Molecule: ribosomal RNA, 558 nt
Filed under: uncultured marine eukaryote
Lineage: Eukaryota
Description: SSU rRNA
Rfam family: Eukaryotic small subunit ribosomal RNA
Source: RNAcentral
GGUUAAAAAGCUCGUAGUUGGAUCUCGGCGGGCAGGGGGUGGUUCGCUCUUCAGCGCUACUGCCCCGCUUUGCCCGUGUGAUUGGCGGAGGUUUCGGGGUGCUCUUCGUUGAGUGACUCGGAGCGCCGUCAGGUUUACUUUGAAAAAACUAGAGUGCUCAAAGCAGGCUUUUCACGCUUGAAUAUUCGUGCAUGGAAUAAUGGAAUAGGAACUCGUUUCUAUUUUGUUGGUUUUCGGAAAUCGAGUUAAUGAUUAACAGGGACAAUUGGGGGCAUUAGUAUUCAGACGACAGAGGUGAAAUUCUUGGACCGUCUGAAGACUGACUACUGCGAAAGCAUUUGCCAAGAGUGUUUUCAUUAAUCAAGAGCGAAAGUUAGAGGUUCGAAGGCGAUCAGAUACCGCCCUAGUUCUAACCAUAAACGAUGCCAGCUAGCGAUCUGCCGAGUUUUUUUUGUAGGCUCCGCAGGAAGCUUUCGGGAAACCAAAGCUUUUGGGUUCCGGGGGAAGUAUGGUUGCAAAGCUGAAACUUAAAGGAAUUGACGGAAGGGCACCACCAGG